Non-coding RNA from Ictidomys tridecemlineatus (thirteen-lined ground squirrel), 494 nucleotides. The record is from RefSeq and is a predicted model, not a curated record. Lineage: Eukaryota; Metazoa; Chordata; Mammalia; Rodentia; Sciuridae.
UCAGUGUCUCCAGUGUCCAAGGAAGAAAAUGGCAUUGUAUGUCCUGCCUGCUUCUCUGAGAAUGGCAUGAUCUGUAUCCCGCAGCCCCUCAACUGCACAGGGGCAGAGACGAAAUGCCUUGAGAUUAAGGGGUUGACUGGUGGUAAUCCUCCUUCAAUAGUGUCUGCUAUGGGUUGUGCAACUGAAAAUGCUUGCAAAUUAGGUACGAUAGAAUUGAAUUAUGAAUUGGAGUUUGGCUGUGUAAAGCCCAUCAGUGGGAGCCCCCCGCUGGCCCCCAUUAUCUCAUCCACUCUGACUAGUCUUCUCCUACUCAAAGUCUUGCUUUGAUUGCUCGAGGGUGGCAAGUUCAUCAUUCCACAACCUGGGAACGUGAAUGUCUUCUGAGGGUCCUUCUCCAGCAUACUCAACAGUAGAGAUUUAAAGAGCUGAUGCUUACAUACAUAUGUAUAUGCUUACUUGUUUGUAUCUGAGGUUAAAAUAAAUAAUAAUUGUUA